This 276-nucleotide ribosomal RNA is filed under the name Triticum aestivum (bread wheat). RNAcentral describes it as "partial small subunit ribosomal RNA". Lineage: Eukaryota; Viridiplantae; Streptophyta; Magnoliopsida; Poales; Poaceae. The record is from RNAcentral.
UAUAUUUUCCUGCCUGAUGGGGCAAAAUUCUACACAUUUGGGCCGACGGCCAUAUGUUGGGUGAUAUGGAACUGCCGUAACCAAGCUACCUUCGAAGGGGAAAAAUUGAGAACACCUUUUGAUAUUGUGUUCUCUACUUGUGGCUAUAUUACUUACUGGGCAGGUUUGAUGAAUGGAGUUGAUCGUGAGGCGAUGGAACAUGGAGCAAAGAUGCUGAGGACCAAUGCCUCGACGAUGAUGAGGAUAUGUACAGGUGGAGCGGCGGAAGAUUUGUGA